AUUGAACGCUGGCGGCAUGCCUUACACAUGCAAGUCGAACGGUAACAGGUCUUCGGAUGCUGACGAGUGGCGAACGGGUGAGUAAUACAUCGGAACGUGCCCGAUCGUGGGGGAUAACGAAGCGAAAGCUUUGCUAAUACCGCAUAAGAUCUACGGAUGAAAGCAGGGGACCGCAAGGCCUUGCGCGACCGGAGCGGCCGAUGGCAGAUUAGGUAGUUGGUGGGAUAAAAGCUUACCAAGCCGACGAUCUGUAGCUGGUCUGAGAGGACGACCAGCCACACUGGGACUGAGACACGGCCCAGACUCCUACGGGAGGCAGCAGUGGGGAAUUUUGGACAAUGGGCGAAAGCCUGAUCCAGCCAUGCCGCGUGCAGGAUGAAGGCCUUCGGGUUGUAAACUGCUUUUGUACGGAACGAAAAGACUCUGGUUAAUACCUGGGGUCCAUGACGGUACCGUAAGAAUAAGCACCGGCUAACUACGUG
This 482-nucleotide ribosomal RNA is filed under the name uncultured bacterium. Its description in RNAcentral is "partial 16S ribosomal RNA". It matches the Rfam family "Bacterial small subunit ribosomal RNA", at positions 30 to 507 of the family's 1533-position model. The record is from RNAcentral.